This 492-nucleotide ribosomal RNA is filed under the name uncultured bacterium. Its description in RNAcentral is "partial 16S ribosomal RNA". It matches the Rfam family "Bacterial small subunit ribosomal RNA", at positions 29 to 507 of the family's 1533-position model. The record is from RNAcentral.
AGUGAACGCUGGCGGUAGGCCUAACACAUGCAAGUCGAACGGCAGCACAGUAAGAGCUUGCUCUUACGGGUGGCGAGUGGCGGACGGGUGAGGAAUACAUCGGAAUCUACUUUUUCGUGGGGGAUAACGUAGGGAAACUUACGCUAAUACCGCAUACGACCUACGGGUGAAAGCAGGGGAUCUUCGGACCUUGCGCGAUUGAAUGAGCCGAUGGCGGAUUAGCUAGUUGGCGGGGUAAAGGCCCACCAAGGCGACGAUCCGUAGCUGGUCUGAGAGGAUGAUCAGCCACCCUGGAACUGAGACACGGUCCAGACUCCUACGGGAGGCAGCAGUGGGGAAUAUUGGACAAUGGGCGCAAGCCUGAUCCAGCCAUACCGCGUGGGUGAAGAAGGCCUUCGGGUUGUAAAGCCCUUUUGUUGGGAAAGAAAAGCAGCAGGUUAAUACCCCGCUGUUCUGACGGUACCCAAAGAAUAAGCACCGGCUAACUUCGUG